Molecule: small RNA, 236 nt
Filed under: Pongo abelii (Sumatran orangutan)
Lineage: Eukaryota; Metazoa; Chordata; Mammalia; Primates; Hominidae
Description: processed transcript
Source: RNAcentral
CUACGGGUAAGCCCACAGAGGAGGGACUGACUACGGAUGCCAUUAGUGUCUAUGAGUGGACCAGGGCAAGAAGUGGCAUCACUCCCGUGUGUCUCUGGGGCCACUCUCUGGGUACAGGAGUUGCAACAAAUGCUGCAAAAGUGCUAGAAGAAAAAGGAUGCCCAGUUGAUGCUAUUGUCUUGGAAGCUCCAUUUACCAACAUGUGGGUUGCAAGUAUCAAUUAUCCCUUGUUAAAG